GCUGGGCAUGGUGAUGCACGCCUGUAAUCCCAGCGGUUUGGGAGGCUGAGGCAGGAGGAUCAUGAGUUCAAAGCCAGCUUCAGCAACUUAGUGAGGAUCUAAGAAACUCAAUGAGACCCUGUCUCUA
Molecule: small RNA, 127 nt
Filed under: Marmota monax (woodchuck)
Lineage: Eukaryota; Metazoa; Chordata; Mammalia; Rodentia; Sciuridae
Source: RNAcentral